UACGGGGGGGGCAAGCGUUGUUCGGAAUUACUGGGCGUAAAGGGCUCGUAGGUGGCCAACUAAGUCAGACGUGAAAUCCCCAGGCUCAACUUGGGAACUGCGUCUGAUACUGGAUGGCUUGAAUUCGGGAGAGGGAGGCAGAAUUCCAGGUGUAGCGGUGAAAUGCGUAGAUAUCUGGAGGAAUACCGGUGGCGAAGGCGGCAUCCUGGACCGAGAUUGACACUGAUGAGCGAAAGCCAGGGGAGCAAACGGG
Molecule: ribosomal RNA, 253 nt
Filed under: uncultured bacterium
Lineage: Bacteria
Description: partial 16S ribosomal RNA
Rfam family: Bacterial small subunit ribosomal RNA
Source: RNAcentral